GAGAUUAAAUUUGAACUUUAUGGCGGCAUGCCUUACACAUGCAAGUCGAACGGCAGCACGGGAGCUUGCUCCUGGUGGCGAGUGGCGAACGGGCAUUGUAAUACAUCGGAACGUACCCAGUAGUGGGGGAUAACGCACCGAAAGGUGCGCUAAUACCGCAUACGACCUAAGGGUGAAAGCGGGGGACCGUAAGGCCUCGCGCUAUUGGAGCGGCCGAUGUCUGAUUAGCUAGUUGGUGAGGUAAAGGCUCACCAAGGCUUCGAUCAGUAGAUUAGGUCUGAGAGGACGAUCAGCCACACUGGGACUGAGACACGGCCCAGACUCCUACGGGAGGCAGCAGUGGGGAAUUUUGGACAAUGGGCGAAAGCCUGAUCCAGCAAUGCCGCGUGUGCGAAGAAGGCCGGGUUGUAAAGCACUUUUGUCAGGGAAGAAAUCAUUUUAGGCUAAUACCUUGGAAGGAUCAACGGUACCUGAGAAUAAGCACCGGCUAACUACGUGCCAGCAGCCGCGGUAAUACGUAGGGUUUUAUAAGCGUUAAUCGGAAUUACUGGGCGUAAAGCGUGCGCAGGCGGUUUGUUAAGACAGUCGUGAAAUCCCCGGGCUUAACCUGGGAACUGCGAUUGUGACUGGCAAGCUAGAGUACGGCAGAGGGUUGUAGAAUUCCUGGUGUAGCAGUGAAAUGCGUACAUAUCAGGAGGAAUACCGAUGGCGAAGGCAGCCCCCUGGGCGAUAGUACUGACGCUCAUGCACGAAAGCGUGGGGAGCAAACAGGAUUAGAUACCCUGGUAGUCCACGCCCUAAACGAUGUCAAUUAGUUGUAUUCCUUUAUUGGAUUAGUAACGUAGCUAACGCGUGAAAUUGACCGCCUGGGGAGUACGGUCGCAAGAUUAAAACUCAAAGGAAUUGACGGGGACCCGCACAAGCGGUGGAUGAUGUGGAUUAAUUCGAUGCAACGCGAAAAACCUUACCUACCCUUGACAUGGUCGGAAUCCCGCAGAGAUGUGGGAGUGCUCGAAAGAGAACCGGCACACAGGUGCUGCAUGGCUGUCGUCAGCUCGUGUCGUGAGAUGUUGGGUUAAGUCCCGCAACGAGCGCAACCCUUGUCAUUAGUUGCUACGAAAGGGCACUCUAAUGAGACUGCCGGUGACAAACCGGAGGAAGGUGGGGAUGACGUCAAGUCCUCAUGGCCCUUAUGGGUAGGGCUUCACACGUCAUACAAUGGUCGGUACAGAGGGCUGCCAACCCGUAAGGGGGAGCCAAUCCCUUAAAACCGAUCGUAGUCCGGAUUGAGGUCUGCAACUCGACCUCAUGAAGUCGGAAUCGCUAGUAAUCGCGGAUCAGCAUGUCGCGGUGAAUACGUUCCCGGGUCUUGUACACACCGCCCGUCACACCAUGGGAGCGGGUUUUACCAGAAGUAGCUAGCCUAACCGUAAGGAGGGCGGUUACCACGGUAGGAUUCCAGUUAUA
Molecule: ribosomal RNA, 1467 nt
Filed under: uncultured beta proteobacterium
Lineage: Bacteria; Pseudomonadati; Pseudomonadota; Betaproteobacteria
Description: bacterial SSU rRNA
Rfam family: Bacterial small subunit ribosomal RNA
Source: RNAcentral